Phalacrocorax carbo (great cormorant) is the source of this 1877-nucleotide non-coding RNA. Lineage: Eukaryota; Metazoa; Chordata; Aves; Suliformes; Phalacrocoracidae. The record is from RefSeq and is a predicted model, not a curated record.
CGCCACCGGCCGCGGCUCCUUCUCUUCCCCGGGACCGAGGGGAAACCGGCGCCUGCUGGGUGCGCUACGGGCCGGGCUCUUUGAGGAAGCCGCUGCACCGGGCCGGGUGUUCCGGCUACCUGCGGCUACUCCGGGUCGGGUUCCGCUCGCGAGGCUCCGGCGCUGCCCGGUAGGUGCUGCCCGCAACUCGACUCGGUGCCCCCCGACCCGUAGGUAGCCGUUGCUGCCCCCGUCCCCUCCCGCGGUCGAACCCCCCGGCUCGGGGCUGGCGGCUCUUGCCGGGACCCCCGGGGGACCCUGGGCGGGCGCCGGCCGGCGGCGGGACCCCGGCUUCCCAGUGGCGGGAGCUGCCGGCUCUGCCCCGCCGGCCCGGCAGCCCCGGGUGAGCGCUCCCCGCCCCGCUCCCCGGUGUGGGAUCCCGGGGGUGCCCGGCCGGGGCCCGCUGACUUUCCCGGCGGGUUUCGGCACCGACCCUUCGGCGUCCCCUCUCGGGGGGCAGCGGCCGCAGCUCGGCCCGUGGGGCUGGGGGACCCCGGCAGCCCCCCGCCUCCGCUACGGUGUCAGCCCUGGCUCGAACCGUGACCCGGCGACCGGCCGUGGGGGCCCCGCACGCCGCGUCUCCCGCCCGGUGCCCGCCCGGGGCAGGUGGGGACCCGGCGGGGCUGGGGGUCUCCCGGUGACCCCUCCUGCCGCCGGGCUCCCCCCGGCACGGGCACCGGCUGCUUUCUUCUCCCCAGCUCCUUCCCAGAGCGGCGGCCGGCAGGAUGGAUCCCUCUGGCCUGGUGCUGGCCCUGCCGGAGCCGGGAGAGCUCGGACUGUUCAAAACAUGCUGUGGCGGGAGCAGAGGCUGCUUCAGGGCCCCAACGAGCUCCUGCAGCCCCAUCGGUGAGACGGGGAAGCCAGAUGGGGUGUGAGGGCUGUACUGGUGCUGCUGGUGCCUCGGGAGGUGUUGGCGGCACAGGCGACGCCUGGGGAAGGCUCAUCGGGGCGCCCGGACGAGGAGCGCGGCCCCGAAGCGGCGAGCGCCGGGGGACACCGGUCACGGAGGACGUGCCGGGUGAGGUCCAGCUCCUGGCUGCUCCAGGUCAGUUGUGGCUCUGGUUGUAGGUGCAGCUCAUGAACAGCUCCAGCUCAUGGAUGGCUCGGGCUCAUCUCAGCUCCUGUUUGUUGUGGCUCCAGCUCACCUGCAGCUUCAGGGCCAGCUCCAGUUUGGGUUUGACUGCAGCUCCUGUUCCUGUCCAGCCAAUUUUGGGUUCCAGUUUGUCUGAGGCUGCAGCUUGUUUUCACCUGCAGCUUGGGGGCUGUUCCAGGCAGCAGGGACAGAUGGAUGCCGAGACCUGGAAGAAGCCGCGCUGCCUGCCCUGUGCGUGGCCUCGCUUGCACCCGCCCGGGGAUGGUGCCUGGACUGUGCGGCUCCAGGUGCAGCUGACGGAUGGCUUGACCUUGUUCCAGCUCCUGUUCCUUGUGGUGCCAUCUCACCUGCAGCUUCAGACUGGUUGUUUCUGCCCAAGGAUGUGGCCACUCGGGCUUGUUCACAGCUCCAGGUCCUACUCAGCUCAGCAGAGGCUCCAGAUUUUUGUUCUUCUUUCCAAUGAAGCAAGAACAAUGGCAAACACGAGAAUCUUUUGGACUCAAGUUGGUUUGGAUUCCAGUUUGGGCUCGUCUCCUCUACCUCCAGCUCAGUUUCCGCUCCAGUUGGUUUUCAGCUUGUGCUUGCUCAAGUGCUCCUGGCUUUUUGCCAAGGUCGUCAAUCAAUCACUGUCACAAGUUCUCUAUGAAUAUGAACUGUCAUAAUUGUACAUGGUCUAAAUAUGGCCCAAUGCCCCUCCCAGUAGCUGUACACACCUUGAAUAAAGAGUUGAACAGUCACGAAAAAA